GACGAACGCUGGCGGCGUGCUUAACACAUGCAAGUCGAACGGAAAGGCCUCUUUCGGGGGGUACUCGAGUGGCGAACGGGUUAGUAACACGUGAGUAACCUGCCCUUGACUUUGGGAUAACUUCAGGAAACUGGGGCUAAUACCGGAUAGGAGCUCCUGCUGCAUGGUGGGGGUUGGAAAGUUUCGGCGGUUGGGGAUGGACUCGCGGCUUAUCAGCUUGUUGGUGGGGUAGUGGCUUACCAAGGCUUUGACGGGUAGCCGGCCUGAGAGGGUGACCGGCCACAUUGGGACUGAGAUACGGCCCAGACUCCUACGGGAGGCAGCAGUGGGGAAUAUUGCACAAUGGGUGGAAGCCUGAUGCAGCAACGCCGUGUGCGGGGUGACGGCCUUCGGGUUGUAAACCGCUUUCGCUCAUGACGAAGCUUUGUGUGACGGUAGUGGGUAAAGAAGCACCGGCUAACUACGU
Molecule: ribosomal RNA, 466 nt
Filed under: uncultured bacterium
Lineage: Bacteria
Description: partial 16S ribosomal RNA
Rfam family: Bacterial small subunit ribosomal RNA
Source: RNAcentral